GUAGAUAUUGUCAGAGGCCAGCUGUUAGCUCCUUAUAAGGAUGUUCAAGGAGUGUCGCUGUAGUCACGAGAUAUCUUCAACGCUAUUAACAUUACAUGACAAGGUGUUUUAAACACAAAGUGUUGCAGACGGCGUCGACACAACAACUUUUGUGUUGAAGUGAAGAAUUUCUCAACAUCUAUCAAUUCUGGAUGUUCAAGUGAAUACCCGUCAUCAUCAUCUUUGAUACAUUGAACAUAUUGCUAAUGGCUGGAGGCUAUGAUCGUGACCGUUUCGUUUAUCCUGUUGCAGAAGAUUUCUACUGCAUUAUUUGCUUUGGUGUGUUAAGAAAUGCGCGAUUAUGCGUGGCAGGAGAACAUCAUUUUUGUUUUGAUUGUAUAUCACAAUACCUUCCUAAUAAUCCAACGUGCCCAGAAUGUCGACAAACUCUCACUCCAGAAACUUUGCAACGUCCUCACAGGUUUCUAAGGAACUGCUUGUCAGAGCUGAUAAUCCGGUGUGAUUAUCACAAUCGAGGGUGUCACGAAGGAGUUCAGCUUGGAAAUCUAGAAAAUCACGUGAAUGCCCGUUGUGAAUAUCGUGAUGUUACGUGUGAGAUCUGUGGUUUGAAAUUUAUUGCAAGAGAAAUGGACACCCACCAGGUUUACUGUCAACUUGGUGGAGCCGAAAUGCCGCAAGUGGACGACUUUAUGCAUAACUAUGAAAAAUUUUGCACGUCAACGGAUACGAGAGUUACUAGAAUUGAGGAAUAUUUGAACCAGUCGUUUGGAUUUAAUCCGCAAUGAAACAGAGGAUAUGUUCUAGGUGACGAAACAACAUUUUGGAAGAUCUGAAAGAAUUAUCGGAUCGCCAAGUACAGACAAUGAUAUCAAGUUGAUAAUGCUUAAGUUACAGUCUCAAAACUCAAGCCAACAACCACUGCAAUUAUCCUCGGAAGUUGGCAUUGUCAUGCAAUAGUUUAUGCCUAUGCUUUAAACACUGUUGAAAUUCAAUUAAUAUUUAUCACUAAACUCAAUUAAUAUUAUAAUAUUUAAUAAACAAAAUGUAUAAUUU
This 1053-nucleotide unclassified non-coding RNA is filed under the name Dendronephthya gigantea. RNAcentral's name for it is "uncharacterized LOC114538478, transcript variant X2". The record is from RNAcentral. Lineage: Eukaryota; Metazoa; Cnidaria; Anthozoa; Malacalcyonacea; Nephtheidae.